Molecule: ribosomal RNA, 408 nt
Filed under: uncultured bacterium
Lineage: Bacteria
Description: partial 16S ribosomal RNA
Rfam family: Bacterial small subunit ribosomal RNA
Source: RNAcentral
GACGAACGCUGGCGGCGUGCUUAACACAUGCAAGUCGAACGAAGUGGCGAACGGGUGAGUAACGCGUAAUCAACCUGCCCUUCAGAGGGGGACAACAGUUGGAAACGACUGCUAAUACCGCAUACUGAAGGAGGGGAUUGCGUCUGAUUUGCUAGUCGGGGGGGUAACGGCCCACCAAGGCGAAGAUCAGUAGCCGGUCUGGGGGGAUGGACGGCCACAUUGGGACUGGGGCACGGCCCAGACCCCUACGGGAGGCAGCAGUGGGGAAUCUUCCGCAAUGGGCGAAAGUCUGACUGAGCAACGCCGCGUGGGUGAUGACAGCCUUCGGGUUGUAAAGGUCUGUUAAUCGGGACGCGGUACCGGAAUAGAAAGCCACGGCUAACUACGUGCCAGCAGCCGCGGUAAUAC